CGAGCACGCGCGUGUGGCAUAUCAAUAAGCGGAGGAAAAGAAACUAACAAGGAUUCCCUUAGUAACGGCGAGUGAAGCGAGAAGAGCUCAAAUUUGAAAUCUUCAAGGUUUUACCUUGACGAAUUGUAGUUUAAAGAAGUGUUUUCUGUUGAAGUUUUGGUAAAAGUUCUUUGGAAUAGGACAUCAUAGAGGGUGAGAAUCCCGUAUUUGACCAUUAUUUUCAGCUGUGUGAUACACUUUCAAAGAGUCGGAUUGUUUGGGAAUGCAGUCCAAAAUGGGUGGUAAAUUUCAUCUAAAGCUAAAUACUGGCGAGAGACCGAUAGCGAACAAGUACCGUGAGGGAAAGAUGAAAAGAACUUUGAAAAGAGAGUUAAACAGUACGUGAAAUUGUCAAAAGGGAAGCGUUUGACACCAGUGUUGUUUUCUCGAAAAUCAAUUAAAAAUGGCAGGAUUUUGUGUUGUAUUGACUUUAAUCAAGCUUUCUCACUCUUUUUCUUGUCUUUUUUAAUGCACUUUUCGUUUAACAAGUCAACAUCAGUUUCUUUUGUUGUAAAAGGGUCAUUGGAAGGUGGCUUUCUUUUCGGAGAAAGUGUUUAUAGCCUUUGCUCUCUGCAAUCGGAGAGAUUGAGGUCUGCAGCGUAGAUCCUUCGGGGUUAAAUACAUUUGUGCUAAGCUAUAGCUUUUUAUAGACAACUUGUUGACUAUAUUUAGUCUUGUGGCUUACUCGCUUAUGCUAUUUUACCUACGCUUAGGAUGUUGAGUCAUCACACAUCUCU
RNAcentral lists this ribosomal RNA (776 nucleotides) under uncultured Neocallimastigales. RNAcentral's name for it is "partial large subunit ribosomal RNA". It matches the Rfam family "Eukaryotic large subunit ribosomal RNA", at positions 19 to 614 of the family's 3401-position model. The record is from RNAcentral. Lineage: Eukaryota; Fungi; Neocallimastigomycota; Neocallimastigomycetes; Neocallimastigales.